GACGAACGCUGGCGGCGUGCCUAAUACAUGCAAGUUGAGCGCUGAAGGUUGGUACUUGUAUCAACUGGAUGAGCAGCGAACGGGUGAGUAACGCGUGGGGAAUCUGCCUUUGAGCGGGGGACAACAUUUGGAAACGAAUGCUAAUACCGCAUAAAAACUUUAAACACAAGUUUUAAGUUUGAAAGAUGCAAUUGCAUCACUCAAAGAUGAUCCCGCGUUGUAUUAGCUAGUUGGUGAGGUAAAGGCUCACCAAGGCGAUGAUACAUAGCCGACCUGAGAGGGGGAUCGGCCACAUUGGGACUGAGACACGGCCCAAACUCCUACGGGAGGCAGCAGUAGGGAAUCUUCGGCAAUGGAAGAAAGUCUGACCGAGCAACGCCGCGUGAGUGAAGAAGGUUUUCGGAUCGUAAAACUCUGUUGGUAGAGAAGAACGUUGGUGAGAGUGGAAAGCUCAUCAAGUGACGGUAACUACCCAGAAAGGGACGGCUAACUACGUG
Molecule: ribosomal RNA, 497 nt
Filed under: uncultured bacterium
Lineage: Bacteria
Description: partial 16S ribosomal RNA
Rfam family: Bacterial small subunit ribosomal RNA
Source: RNAcentral